RNAcentral lists this ribosomal RNA (459 nucleotides) under uncultured bacterium. RNAcentral's name for it is "bacterial SSU rRNA". It matches the Rfam family "Bacterial small subunit ribosomal RNA", at positions 547 to 1008 of the family's 1533-position model. The record is from RNAcentral.
GGAUUUAUUGGGUUUAAAGGGAGCGUAGGCCGGAGAUUAAGUGUGUUGUGAAAUGUAGACGCUCAACGUCUGACUUGCAGCGCAUASUGGUUUCCUKGAGUACGCACAACGUUGGCGGAAUUCGUSGUGUAGCGGUGAAAUGCUUAGAUAUGACGAAGAACUCCGAUUGCGAAGGCAGCUGACGGGAGCGCAACUGACGCUUAAGCUCGAAGGUGCGGGUAUCGAACAGGAUUAGAUACCCUGGUAGUCCGCACAGUAAACGAUGGAUGCCCGCUGUUGGUACUUGGUAUCAGCGGCUAAGCGAAAGCAUUAAGCAUCCCACCUGGGGAGUACGCCGGCAACGGUGAAACUCAAAGGAAUUGACGGGGGCCCGCACAAGCGGAGGAACAUGUGGUUUAAUUCGAUGAUACGCGAGGAACCUUACCCGGGCUUGAAUUGCAGAGGAAGGAUUUAGAGAUA